UCCGCCGUGGUGUAACGGCAGCACGACGGCCUUUGGAGCCGUGAGGUUCAGGUUCGAAUCCUGGCGGCGGAGCGA
This 75-nucleotide transfer RNA is filed under the name Schumannella luteola. RNAcentral's name for it is "tRNA-Gln". It matches the Rfam family "tRNA". From Rfam's summary of the family: Transfer RNA (tRNA) molecules are approximately 80 nucleotides in length. Their secondary structure includes four short double-helical elements and three loops (D, anti-codon, and T loops). Lineage: Bacteria; Bacillati; Actinomycetota; Actinomycetes; Micrococcales; Microbacteriaceae. The record is from RNAcentral.